UUUACUUGCGAUUUUAUGAUUUUUAUUUAAAAAAUAUUACUUCCGAUUUUACGAUUUUACGAUUCGAGUUUACGAGUCGAGUUUAUAUUGUAUGUUCCGUGUCGUGUUAAAAAAAGCGUUUUUAACAACCUUGCUCAUCCAACAAGCUUUUGCAU
This is a long non-coding RNA of Populus euphratica (Euphrates poplar), 155 nucleotides long. RefSeq lists it as uncharacterized. NCBI's taxonomy places the organism in Eukaryota, Viridiplantae, Streptophyta, Magnoliopsida, Malpighiales, Salicaceae. The record is from RefSeq and is a predicted model, not a curated record. The transcript is spliced from 3 exons.